Maniola jurtina (meadow brown) is the source of this 257-nucleotide long non-coding RNA. RefSeq lists it as uncharacterized. The record is from RefSeq and is a predicted model, not a curated record. The transcript has 2 exons. NCBI's taxonomy places the organism in Eukaryota, Metazoa, Arthropoda, Insecta, Lepidoptera, Nymphalidae.
UUUCCAGGAAAGCCAGGAAUUCACCAAAAGUAAAAAUACUUUCUGAUAAUCUGGAUCCCAUUCUUCAUUUACCCAUGUACCAAGAUAUUUGUGCAUUGAAACUCUUUCGAGUGUUGUACAUGUGAGAGUUCUUAUUGAGGUUUGUUGCGGUUUUCUUGAUACUGUACAUAAACUUAGUCUUUGAGAGAUUCAUGCUUAGACCCGACUUUCUGCUACAUUUAUAAACGCUAUCUAUUAUUUUCUAAAGAUCUUGGGAA